Molecule: ribosomal RNA, 253 nt
Filed under: uncultured bacterium
Lineage: Bacteria
Description: partial 16S ribosomal RNA
Rfam family: Bacterial small subunit ribosomal RNA
Source: RNAcentral
UACGUAGGGGGCAAGCGUUGUCCGGAAUCAUUGGGCGUAAAGAGCGCGUAGGCGGUCCGGUAAGUCCGCUCUGCAAGUCCGGGGCUCAACCCCGGGAGGCGGGCGGAUACUGUCGGGCUAGAGUCCGGAAGAGGCGAGUGGAAUUCCUGGUGUAGCGGUGAAAUGCGCAGAUAUCAGGAGGAACACCGGUGGCGAAGGCGGGUCUCUGGGCAACAACUGACGCUGAGGAGCGAAAGCGUGGGGAGCGAACAGG